This 802-nucleotide long non-coding RNA is filed under the name Salmo salar (Atlantic salmon). RNAcentral describes it as "lncRNA (ENSSSAG00000085526.1)". Lineage: Eukaryota; Metazoa; Chordata; Actinopteri; Salmoniformes; Salmonidae. The record is from RNAcentral.
ACGGAUAUACCAUUCAUGUAAGCGCGCGAUAUCAGGCAGCUUGCGAGGCUACAUUCAGUACACUGCAAGUCACGAUAUCAACAGAGGCUCUUUUACUAAGCUCCCACUCCUCUGGGAUCCCCAUGCCCUGACUCUCCUCAAAGUCCACCAUCACUGGCCCAGCCGACACAAGGUCAAAUGGGUCAGGCAGUCCAGCACAGUCCUCCACCACCUCCUGGGGAUGGGGCUCCACGGUGGUCCUUUGUGAUGCUUGGGAGGUCGAGCAAGUGGUCUGACCCAUUGGAUUCUUAAUGUUGCCACGCCCACCACCCCCCCUCGGUCCUGUGUUACAGAAUGCCUCUGAAGACCCAGCCUGCACCCUCCAGUCACCCCCGCUGGGAGCCUCUAACCUCUGCUUCAGUCCCAGGGUGUCCUGGUCCCUCUGGGUCACUGAGGAGAGUCCCUGCUGCUGGUCCCCUUGGAGCCCGGUUAACAGACGCACAGUCUCACUCAGCACAGACUCCACUGCUGUACGCACUGCCUCCUCAAUGGCCCCGCCCAGUCUGUCCCUCAGGAAGCUGAUGGACAACUGGACAUCCAUCUUGGCACAGCUCUACCUGGCUGUCUCUGUGACUUUAGACACCAACCACAGGUUAGAGCUCUAUGGGAUGCGUUGAGGCAGGACAAAUCUGUGAAGUGAAGAGCCACCGAUGCUGCCAACCCUCUCUGCAAGAAAGUCCUUGGAUAACAAUAGUAUGCUCAAGAGCUGAAGAUGUUAAAAGACAAAAACAAAUCUUUCAUUACCCCAGGACACUACAACAGG